CUCCUUUGACGUUAGCGGCGGACGGGUGAGUAACACGUGGGUAACCUACCUAUAAGACUGGGAUAACUUCGGGAAACCGGAGCUAAUACCGGAUAAUAUUUCGAACCGCAUGGUUCGAUAGUGAAAGGUGGUUUUGCUAUCACUUAUAGAUGGACCCGCGCCGUAUUAGCUAGUUGGUAAGGUAACGGCUUACCAAGGCGACGAUACGUAGCCGACCUUAGAGGGUGAUCGGCCACACUGGAACUGAGACACGGUCCAGACUCCUACGGGAGGCAGCAGGC
RNAcentral lists this ribosomal RNA (281 nucleotides) under uncultured Staphylococcus sp. Its description in RNAcentral is "partial 16S ribosomal RNA". It matches the Rfam family "Bacterial small subunit ribosomal RNA", at positions 81 to 354 of the family's 1533-position model. Lineage: Bacteria; Bacillati; Bacillota; Bacilli; Caryophanales; Staphylococcaceae. The record is from RNAcentral.